This 253-nucleotide ribosomal RNA is filed under the name uncultured bacterium. Its description in RNAcentral is "partial 16S ribosomal RNA". It matches the Rfam family "Bacterial small subunit ribosomal RNA", at positions 524 to 776 of the family's 1533-position model. The record is from RNAcentral.
GACGUAGGGAGCGAGCGUUGUCCGGAUUCAUUGGGCGUAAAGCGCGCGUAGGCGGCCUCGCAAGUCGGUUGUGAAAUCCCGGGGCUCAACCCCGGGACUGCGUCCGAUACUGCGAGGCUGGAGGUAGGUGGGGGAGAUCGGAAUUCCUGGUGUAGCGGUGAAAUGCGCAGAUAUCAGGAGGAACACCGGUGGCGAAGGCGGAUCUCUGGGCCUUACCUGACGCUGAGGCGCGAAAGCUAGGGGAGCGAACAGG